GAAAUGCGAUAAGUAAUGUGAAUUGCAGAAUUCAGUGAAUCAUCGAAUCUUUGAACGCACAUUGCGCCCGUCAGCAUUCUGGCGGGCAUGCCUGUUCGAGCGUCAUUUCAACCCUCAGGACCCCCCUUUCGCGGGGAGGGACCUGGCGUUGGGGAUCGGCCCGCCCCCGCGGCGGCGCCGUCUCCGAAAUCUAGUGGCGGUCUCGCUGCAGCCUCCCCUGCGUAGUAGUUACAACCUCGCAUCGGAGCGCGGCGCGGCCACGCCGUAAAACCCCCGACUUUCUGAACGUUGACCUCGGAUCAGGUAGGAAUACCCGCUGAACUUAAGC
RNAcentral lists this unclassified non-coding RNA (328 nucleotides) under plant metagenome. RNAcentral's name for it is "partial contains 5.8S ribosomal RNA, internal transcribed spacer 2, and large subunit ribosomal RNA". The stretch from base 1 to 105 matches the Rfam family "5.8S ribosomal RNA", at positions 50 to 154 of the family's 154-position model. The record is from RNAcentral.